RNAcentral lists this unclassified non-coding RNA (341 nucleotides) under fungal sp. RNAcentral's name for it is "partial internal transcribed spacer region". The stretch from base 1 to 46 matches the Rfam family "Eukaryotic small subunit ribosomal RNA", at positions 1786 to 1831 of the family's 1831-position model. The record is from RNAcentral. Lineage: Eukaryota; Fungi.
AAGUCGUAACAAGGUUUCCGUAGGUGAACCUGCGGAAGGAUCAUUAACACCCCCGUGAACCUUCAUUGUGCUCCCCCAUUCCGUUAGGACGCGGCAAUCCCUGGUAAAUCAUCGCCGAACAGUUUUGAUUCAGGGACCUCUGCAUGGAGUGGGCAGCAGCGCGAGGCAAGUGGCCUGGCAUUCGAAAGAAUGGCGCAGUAACGAUCGCUAGAGGCCGACACGGCCGGCGACCGGGUCACUGGGCUCACGCCCCCCUAUCACCUUUGCAUGAAAACGGGCCUGCGCUUAAUUGUGCGGCCACCAAACUCGAACAACUGUUAACAAUGGAUAUCUUGGUUCUC